GACAGUUUCUACAAAACUCAUGUUUUAUUUUCUUUUAAAGUUCAUAUCUCGUUGGUCAUUGUAGUAUUAUGACCAUAAUCCUUUACGGUUUUCUUAAAACUUUUAGGUUCUUUCCAUGUUGUUAGAGCUGCAACAAAAUUUUGAUGUCUAGUGGUAAAUCAUUCAUUAUUUACAAAGUGGAUAAUAGGAUAAUGAAUACCUUAGGCAUGUUGUUGAGAAAAUGAUUUUUUCAAGGACUUUACUUUUCUAAUAACAUAAGUGACAAAAUCUUUAUAUUUUGUUGAUGGAAUUUUCCUUCUCAUCCUCUUCUCUCUUUUUCUCGAUAUUUUCUUCUUACACUACCAUAACAUCAUCUUCGUCAACUCCAUUUGCAAAUACUAACUUACCAACCACACCACUUACAUUUUCUCCUUCAUUUUCAUUAUAGUCUUCACAGAAUCCCCCUUGAAGUUGUGACUCCUCUUCUCCUUGCAAGGCCAUUGAUGUCUCCCCCCCCCCCCCCUAAGAAAAUUUAUGUUCGUAAAAUUUCACAUCUUUAGAGACAAAGUAUUCAUAAGAUUCCAAAUCAUACAAUUUCUCUAUAGGGGUAUCCAUAAAAACAAACUUUUGACUUAUAUUGGAAAAAUCAUCUCAAUCACGAUGUUGUUGAUGUGUAUAACAUAAGAAACCAAAAAUUUUAAUGUUAUCAAACCUAAGUGGUUCAUCAUAUAAAUUUUCACAAUGUGUCAAAUAAUUAAGCACAUUAGACGGUGUGCAAUUAAUUAAAUGAUAAGUUGCUAACACACAUUCUUCCAAAAACUGCACUGGUAAAUUAUCUUGAAAUCUGAGUGCUUGUGCCAAAGUGUUAAGCU
RNAcentral lists this long non-coding RNA (851 nucleotides) under Vigna radiata. RNAcentral describes it as "long non-coding RNA (VRAD_LNC010657)". The record is from RNAcentral. Lineage: Eukaryota; Viridiplantae; Streptophyta; Magnoliopsida; Fabales; Fabaceae.